CUGAAAGAAAAAGAUAUUUCUUGAUCAACAUCUACUGCUCAAAAAGAUGGUGUACAUAACAAGUUGUUUUACCUGAGGGUCCCCAUACACUGCAUUCUUUUUCAACAGGUUUCCAGACACGGGUACCAGCGACCACUACAGCGUAUCGUACGGCCGCGGUGGAAGCCUACACCUCAGGUUUUAGGUGAUGGAGCUACCAUUGUCAUCAGUUUUUCUGCAUCUGAGGGCGGAGAGGCGAUGACUACGUGACUCGUGUUCUCAAUUGUCCUGCCGCAUCAUUUACACUUUGGAAUGUCAACACAGUUAGUGACGUGGAAUUUCGCUGGUGGCAUCUUUUGCCUUCCGAAUACAGCUAAUCAGUGUACGCCACCCUUCAUUUUUGCAGAUCGCCACCAGCAAAGAUACUCUGAACGGCAAUACAUAGGAGAUAGCUGUCAAGCGUGGGAGUGGGUACUUUGUAUAUUUUAUGUAUUUUUCUUUAGUUCCUGUAAUAGCUGAGUGCAAGAGGUUAUAGUGGACUGAACACUUAGUUCAAGUUGGGGUGAAAGGUACAAAAAUGCAUGCAGGUUUAGAGUAAUUUUUUUGGAAAGUGAACAAUAGGAAGUCUAAGAUGAGACUUUGAAGGACUGAAAUGAAAGGUCUCAGGACAACGUCCACAUAUACUCUUUUGUCACUGCUCAUUAUAAAGUUGAUUAAGUUACUUAAUAUAUGCCUUAAUACAUGUACUUGUAGGGAGUAUCUGUUCUUCGUCUUCAGUGGUGUGUCUAAUUCAAGCGUUUGUUGAGAUGCCAGCUUUACAUUAUUCCUUGAGUGACUUGUUAACAUGAGGUUGACAGUCCAUCAACAAAACAAUUCUUGGUUAUAGUUUCACUGUUUAUUAAGAAUACACUACAUUUUUAGACCUUAAUUGGUCAUCUUCAGGUGAUUCUCUUUAAGUGUUUGAAACUAAUAGAUGUGACUGCUAAUUUGUAUAUACAUUUUCUGUUGUUGACUUUACCAUGUUAUGGACUGUGUCGUAAGUGGAUUACCUGUUUUAAUAAAGUGGACUAUGUAGGUGUAGUGACCAGUGGAAAACUGUAGUUUAUGGUGAUGUUGAUGGUUGAUGUGGAAGGGUAGAUCUAGGUGGAUGGGGAUGGAGUAGGGUUGGUAAGAUAUUUAAUGAUGGUGGAUGGAGAGAAUGAUGUUAGGUAUUAUUGUAGUCUGUCAGGAUUUCAAAAGUGGGGUUGUUGCUGUCUGGGUUUGUUUGGUUUAAAUGAAUGCCAUUUUAAUGCUACUGUGUAUGUGGAAUUUUUCUGGUAUGUUCAUGUAACUGCCUUUUUUGUCCUUUGAGAUUUUUCAUUGUAUCUUCCAAGGUGCCAUAUGAGGGUCCAUUUUGUAGAAUAUGUUGAGAAAAUUCUGUGUUAGGUUUGUUAGCUUUUAUAUUCAUGUUAUAGUCCUUGAAUCUGAUUUCUAAAUUUCUGCUUGUUUUCCCUAUAUAAUAUUAAUGGCAGUCUUGGCAAGUUAGCUGGUAAAUUCCUCUUUUGUUAUGUUUGUUGUUUUAAGUGUCUAUAUAUAGUGUUCGACAGUAUGAAACUAAUAUCGAUUCCUACGUUUUUGAAGAGGUUUGUGAGUUUUCUGUUCUGAUGUCCAAUAUAAAUAAAUGUAGCCCAUUUUUUAUGUCUGUCUGGGUUUGAAGAAUUCUUUGAUCAUAUUAAGUUAGAGGAGAUAUUUUAUAUGGUAUGGGGGAUAAUCAUUGUUGUGAAGAAUGGUUUUGAUGGUUUCCAUUUCCAUUUCUUUGUUAUUUAUGGAUGAUGAAUAUGUAUAUGCUCUGUUUAACAUAUAUAGUUUGUAGUAUCUCUUUUAUGGUCUUGAGGGUGGCAUUAGUUAUUGAGGAUGAUAAUGUCAAUUGUGGUUGGUUUCCUAAAGAUAUUGUGUUAAAGUUUUCUGUUAUUCUUCUUGAUGGUUAGAUCUAGAAAACUGAUGGUGUAUGUUCUUUUUUCAUAGUAAAUUUAAGUCGAGAGUGGAUAGACUUAAAUGAUGACAGCAGACGGACUAGCAACCUGACAUUCAACACACACCAGGGUGCAUCCCUUAAAAUUUGACUUAACUAACUCUCAUUCUCACUAUUCGCUCCAUGAACAUUCUUCUUUUCUUACAUGUUUUCUAAUAUAGACCAUGGAGUUCUCAAAGGUCAUGUUGAAUAAAAGGAAGGUAAAAUUUAUUUCAAGUAAAUCUCUCAGAGAAAUACAAAUAGCUGUAUAAUAGAUAAAUUAGGUACAUAUGUAAAGUGACUCUCAAAAUGGAUUAAAGUAAGCAAAAAUUUAUAUGGUAAUGUGUAUAAUGUUAGUAUCACAUAUUACAUCUUAUGAACAUCUAUUAAAAGACUCAGGAAUUACUUCAUUUUAAAAAUAACACAAGCUAAACCUAAACCAAAAUGGUAUGAUAAAAUGUACUCUGAGUCUACUGUAUACAUUUUGAUCAACAUCAGUCUCAUAGUUUUGAUCAUAUUAAAUGUGGACGUACAUGUCAAAACUAACACAGUAGGUGGUUUUCCAUAUUUAUUAUGGUUUUGAAAUUUUUAUUUUCAUUAUUCUCUGUAAUGCCCAAAUAUAAAUAAAAUUUAGGAAAUCAAAAUUAUUGAAUUUUGGAGUAUGCAGGAAGGAUA
Molecule: non-coding RNA, 2644 nt
Organism: Zootermopsis nevadensis
Lineage: Eukaryota; Metazoa; Arthropoda; Insecta; Blattodea; Termopsidae
Source: RefSeq, a predicted model, not a curated record